CGGGGUGAGUAAUGCUUGGGAAUCUAGCUUAUGGAGGGGGAUAGCUACGGGAAACUGUAGCUAAUACCGCGUAAUAUCGAAAGAUUAAAGUGUGGGACCUUCGGGCCACAUGCCAUAGGAUGAGCCCAAGUGGGAUUAGGUAGUUGGUGAGGUAAAGGCUCACCAAGCCGACGAUCUCUAGCUGGUCUGAGAGGAUGACCAGCCACACUGGGACUGAGACACGGCCCAG
This 229-nucleotide ribosomal RNA is filed under the name uncultured bacterium. RNAcentral describes it as "partial 16S ribosomal RNA". It matches the Rfam family "Bacterial small subunit ribosomal RNA", at positions 104 to 334 of the family's 1533-position model. The record is from RNAcentral.